This 322-nucleotide ribosomal RNA is filed under the name uncultured eukaryote. RNAcentral describes it as "partial 18S ribosomal RNA". It matches the Rfam family "Eukaryotic small subunit ribosomal RNA", at positions 1470 to 1796 of the family's 1831-position model. The record is from RNAcentral.
CCCUUAGAUGUUCUGGGCCGCACGCGUGCUACACUGAGUGGAUCAGCGGGUCAGGUUGCGCGAAAGCGUUUCCUAAUCUAUAAAUCCGCUCGUGAUGGGGAUUGACGGUUGCAAUUUUCUGUCAUGAACGAGGAAUACCUUGUAAGCGCGGGUCAUCAUCCCGCGCUGAAUACGUCCCUGCCCUUUGUACACACCGCCCGUCGCUCCUACCGAUUGAGUGGUCCGGUGAGGCUUUGGGAUCUGAGCGGAAAGAGCGUUUCGCUGUUUCUGCUCGGAAAACUCAGUCGAACCUUAUCAUUUAGAGGAAGGAGAAGUCGUAACA